AGCAGCCGCGGUAAUUCCAGCUCCAAUAGCGUAUAUUAAAGUUGCUGCAGUUAAAAAGCUCGUAGUUGAAUUUCGGGAUCAAUAUGUCGGUCGUGCCUCGGUACGUACUGGCUUAUUGGUUUCUCCUUUCUGAAGAACCAUGAUGUCAUUUAUUUGGUGUCGUGGGGAAUCAGGACUGUUACUUUGAAAAAAAUUAGAGUGUUUAAAGCAGGCUCACGCUUGAAUACAUUAGCAUGGAAUAAUGAAAUAGGACGUUUGAUUCUAUUUUGUUGGUUUCUAGGAUCGACGUAAUGAUUAAUAGGGAUAGUUGGGGGCAUUAGUAUUCAAUUGUCAGAGGUGAAAUUCUUGGAUUUAUUGAAGACUAACUACUGCGAAAGCAUUUGCCAAGGAUGUUUUCAUUAAUCAAGAACGAAAGUUAGGGGAUCGAAGACGAUCAGAUACCGUCGUAGUCUUAACCAUAAAUUAUGCCGACUAGGGAUCGGAUGAUGUUAAUUUUUUAAUGACUCAUUCGGCGCCUUAC
RNAcentral lists this unclassified non-coding RNA (520 nucleotides) under uncultured Glomus. RNAcentral describes it as "SSU rRNA". It matches the Rfam family "Eukaryotic small subunit ribosomal RNA", at positions 569 to 1091 of the family's 1831-position model. The record is from RNAcentral. Lineage: Eukaryota; Fungi; Glomeromycota; Glomeromycetes; Glomerales; Glomeraceae.